GGCUUUUGGCCAUUUCUUUGUUGUUCUGAGGUGGGAAGGUUUUAGGGUUUUGCUUGCACAUGUACAGCUUCUACCCAUUGUCACCCAUUGCAGUCCACUCUUCUCCUGGCGAAUCAGCCCCUGCUAAUAGGUUUUGUCUGUCUCCACAGUUUCCAAUGCACGGACCGUGUCUCAUCCACACCUCGUUUUCCACCUUGAAAAUGUCCACCACUGACGAUUCUCACCACCGCUAAUCGCACCUGGGUGCUGGGCCCAUGCUUAGAUGAUUCCUCUUUGGAAAGGCCUUAGCAACAUCUCGGGGGUGGGGGACGGGCUGGGGACCUCCUGAGCUGGUGGUGUCCCCUGAUCUCUGGCCUGGGUGGCACCUUCACCGAGGCCGGUGGACUGGCCAGGCUCUGCUGUGAUCUGCGGGAGCCACUCGCCUUGUGUCCCUCAGCAGCUCUCGUGACUCAAUGUGUAUCUUUUAAACAGCUCAGCCCAAUAAACUGACAAUAUCACUGCAGACGCAGAGGAAAGGUACUGGGGGGGGAGGGACGUGCACCCCGAGCCUCAGUUUACCAGCUGUAGAACAAGAUGUCUGACUGCAAUGGUCAAAAGGUUCCUAGACAUGACCAAUCAAUCUCAGAGAUUCAGCGUGGCACGAUGGCCACCAUCCUGGCUGCCGCCACCCCAUUGCUCGCCCAUGAGUUAACCCUGGCUCACUCUGCACAAGUCAUUAGGUUGGAGUCGGCUGAGCAUUUCCAUGCUAGCCAGUGAACCCCAGAUGAACCCCAGGCUCCUCAUGACUGACGCUGGGCAGGUGAACAGCUCUGGGGAAAGUCCAGUUCCUUGGCACCUUCUAACCUUGGCAGCCAGUGACCCUCUAGCAAUAAUAAGCUUCCAAAGCUUCUCCUGGAUGUUACGUCUCAGGUGCUACCAGGACCCUCCCACGGUCCCUAGCCCGCCGAGGUUUAGCCAGCCCACUGCAGGGGCUUUUGAAAAGAUGGCGCCGCUUGUACUCAUUUCACCUGAGAGCUCUGGCCUUGUCACGGCACCCCACAAUGCCAAGGUGUACCGUGACCCCGCUCAGUCUUCAUCACCGGCAGCCCCCUCCCCUCUGGCUGGCUUCCCUCAGAGGGGGCCCAUUCCCCUGUGACAGCGGGACAAAGAGCCCAGUGUCCCCCAGAGCCACUGUGUUUGCUGGAGGAAAAGCCAGCCUGCCGUGGACUGUCUAUCCGGGCAUUUCGUCACUCUCCAUUCUUCUGGUUUCUGUCUGGGAAAUUCACCCUGCUAUGAACUUUUGACAGGAAGAAAUCUGCUUUAAACAGGGGAGAGCCUCCACAGUGAUGGACAAGUAGACCAGGUGGCUAUUCUUAAGAUGUCUGUCAUCCCAGCUACUCAGGAGGCUGAGAUCAGAGGAUUGAGGUUUGAAGCCAGCCAGGGCAGAGAAGAUUGUGAGAUGCUUAUUUCCAAUGAACCUGCCAAAAGCCGGACAUACAGGCAUGACACAAAGAAUAGAGGGCCAGCCAUGAGCAGAGAAGCCAAGCAAGAUCACAAGACCCCGAGUUCAAACCCCAGUGUCAGCACACACUCAAAGAAGAAAAAGAAAGGUAACAGGCCACUCUGUUGGCUGUAACCACCACAUUGCCUGCCCAUGAAUUAACCCUUACAUUCCCACACCUUUGAGAGCAUUGAUUGGGCACCCAUUGUCAUCCAUGGCGCCCUGGCGUAAGGGUUAUGAAGAUCUCUCUUCCCUGCCUAUGAAGCGUUCAAAAUCUAGGGACCAAAAAGCUUCGCUAGUGAGUUGUGAGAUGCUCCCUGGGCCAUGUGCCAAUGAAGCAGCCCACCCCCUCCCUCACGGGAGUGAUGGAGGAGGCCUUCUUGGAGUGGUACCUGGGUCCUGUCUCACAGGGGCAGGUGCUGAGGGGGCCCUGCCAACUUCGCCCUGACAUCUGUCUCAGGCUUAGUGGCCCCAGCUUUGCCCCUAGCCUCAACUUCCCUUCAUUCUCGGUCCUGGUGGAUUUGCAGGGCAAUGCCAUGCAUCAGGGUUUCGAUUAGCUGACCCCUGUCCUGAAAACAGGUUGCUUGAGGAAGGCUGGCAGCCCCACACGCUGCACACACUCCAGAUCCGGUCUCCUGGGCUGCAGGAAGCCCUUUCUUGCUCAACCCAAACAAAUCUCCCCUUCCCUCCAGGUACAUGCUGCCUUUGAAGUCCUCUGAAAAGGAUUCAAGGUGUAGCUUUACUUUGGCACAAUGCCUUAAUUCAUGUUAAGACUUUUUUUCCCCUUCCACCAUGAUACACCCUUCCUGCAUAUAACUUGAUUAAAGUCAUGUGUGACAAGGAA
This is a long non-coding RNA of Dipodomys spectabilis (banner-tailed kangaroo rat), 2324 nucleotides long. RefSeq lists it as uncharacterized. The transcript has 3 exons. Lineage: Eukaryota; Metazoa; Chordata; Mammalia; Rodentia; Heteromyidae. The record is from RefSeq and is a predicted model, not a curated record.